This is a non-coding RNA of Misgurnus anguillicaudatus (oriental weatherfish), 829 nucleotides long. The record is from RefSeq and is a predicted model, not a curated record. NCBI's taxonomy places the organism in Eukaryota, Metazoa, Chordata, Actinopteri, Cypriniformes, Cobitidae.
UGAUUGGGCCAGCCCAGUGUGAGUAUGGAAAAUGAACUAAUGGGCCGCUGUCCAUGCUUUAUGGGCCGGUCGUUGGCCAAUAAAAAAAUCAUUUAUAUUCACCGGCCCCCAAGGACGUCGGCCCACCGGGCAUUUGCCCGGUAUGCCAGAUUACCAGUCCAGCCCUGAACAGGAGGAAGUAGAGGAGUAACAGGAGGAAGUAGAGGGGUAACAGCAGGAAGUAGAGGCGUAACAGGAGGAACUAGAGGAGGAACAGGAGGAGGAACAGGAGAAACUAGAGAAGGACCAGGAAUUGGUGGUGGAGGAGAACAAUAUGGAGUACGGCUACCAGAAGGAGCAGGAGGAAGUAGAGGAGGAGGAGGGGGAGAAAGUAAAGGAGGACCAGUAGAAACUAGAGGAGGAGGGGCCAGGUUUGUGGAUGAGAAAUAUGCACAGCUUGUUGCAAGGGUGACAUCAGUGAUGGCAUUGGCAGAUUAUUUGAAAAGUAACAACAUGAUACAUGAAGAAACUUACUCAGAGAUCAGGGCAGAAAGGACCAACCAAGAGAAAAUGAGGAAGCUUUAUGAAGCACUGAACUCUGGAGGAGACAAUGUUAAAAAUGCCUUUUAUAAUGCACUACGCAAACAUGAACCAUACCUCCUCGAAGACCUGGGUGGAGGGCUGAACCUGACCUGACCCAUUAAUCCUCAGUGCCUGCCAAAUUUUGCUGACGUGGCAGCGGCCUCAGGCUCCGACACCAAUGGAGGGUUCAACUUCUGACGGAUCAAAUUGAAGAGGAUUCAGUCUGAACAAUUUGUGGAAUUUAUUAAAAAAUAUUUACUUCAUUAAA